Long non-coding RNA from Mus musculus (house mouse), 709 nucleotides. RefSeq annotates it as predicted gene, 31226. NCBI's taxonomy places the organism in Eukaryota, Metazoa, Chordata, Mammalia, Rodentia, Muridae. The transcript is spliced from 5 exons. The record is from RefSeq and is a predicted model, not a curated record.
GAGGCUGUCAGCUCAGAAAGCACACAGCUGAUGCCGGCGUUCUUCUCCUGUCUGACACAAGAGAUCCUCACAGAUGAGAUGGAUGGACUGCUGGACACACGUGGGAUGUUUGUAAGUUGCUGAAUCCUCAGCAGGCUGUGGAUUAGGAGCUGGAGACAGAUGUUGAUGAGAACCACAGACCGGUGAAGAAACUUCAUGAGUGUAAAGGAAAGAAGACAAGAUGGGACAAGCUAGAUUUGGAAGUCCCAGGGCAGAAACAGCCAUUGCAACCCAGGGAUGAAGGGUACGCCAAGGAGAAAAGGAUGCUUAGCAAAGAGAUGAGGAUGAAGGUUGUACAUGUGUGCUGCAUAGACAUGAGUGUGCCGAGGUAUAAGCCUGCAUGAGCACAGAUGAAGAGAGCCAGCAGAGGACAUUGGUUUGUAGCAUGCUUGAAGGAAAAGCAGAAAAGAGCUGUCAAAAUGACUGAAUGGCUUGGGCACAUGUCAUCUGAGAAGGCUGCCCAGAGACAUUCCCAGGCCAGCCAACCUGCUUGGAAGAAACAGAGACCAGCUGAGCCUUCUGGAGAUGCUCAGACCAACUGAAUGGAAGGAACAUUCUUCAUCCCCUUGAGCUGCCUAAAGGCUACUCAGUGUGUUCCAGGUUCCCAGAUUUUGUGAGUUGUCACCUAUGUUGGAGUGGGCUUUGCCAAUGCAACUGUUUUUGAGUCAUU